UAGUUAACAUAGUGUCCACAGUCUCGGCGA
Molecule: non-coding RNA, 30 nt
Filed under: Mus musculus (house mouse)
Lineage: Eukaryota; Metazoa; Chordata; Mammalia; Rodentia; Muridae
Source: RNAcentral